RNAcentral lists this ribosomal RNA (379 nucleotides) under uncultured bacterium. Its description in RNAcentral is "bacterial SSU rRNA". It matches the Rfam family "Bacterial small subunit ribosomal RNA", at positions 521 to 896 of the family's 1533-position model. The record is from RNAcentral.
UAAUACGUAGGGGGCAAGCGUUGUUCGGAAUUACUGGGCGUAAAGGGCGCGUAGGCGGCACGGCAAGUCGGGAGUGAAAGGCCUGGGCUCAACCCAGGAACUGCUUUCGAGACUGCCGAGCUAGAGUGCGGAAGGGGCAACUGGAAUUCCCAGUGUAGCGGUGAAAUGCGUAGAUAUUGGGAAGAACACCGGAGGCGAAGGCGGGUUGCUGGGCCGACACUGACGCUGAGGCGCGAAAGCCAGGGGAGCAAACGGGAUUAGAUACCCCGGUAGUCCUGGCCCUAAACGAUGGAUACUUGGUGUGUGGGGUUCUUCGAGUCCCCGCGUGCCGGAGCUAACGCGGUAAGUAUCCCGCCUGGGGAGUACGGUCGCAAGGCUG